UAUGGGAGAAACACUCUGGAGUCAAAAUCUUAUCAGAUCUGUUUUGGAACUGAAAAUCAGUUUGCAGUUCGGGUAUGAGGGAGUAGGGCUGAAGUGACUGAAAAGGAACAAUACAUUACUUCCCUGUGUGGGACCAGAGAUCCCUUCUUCAAAGCUGCAUCCAACCAUGAGAGGAAAAGAGAUUCUCCAAAUUUCUGCUGGAGAAACCAGAGAUGGGCACCCUCUGGAGCCAUCAACCCUCUGAGAUACCACCUCCCCAGAAAGGCCAAGUUCAUUAAAAAGAGGGAAAUGAAAAGAAAAGGAGGCAUUUCUUCUCUACACCCUGGAAAAGAUUGAGUGCAUAUUGCUUUGUCUCGCUACGACCAACCUUGCUACAAACAACAGCAGCAUUCAAUACUCUGACAUCCAGAAAACCAUCACACACAUUGUCACCCAAAAUGGAACACUGUCCUCACGGGGGUCCCUCAAUUAGAAGCAAUCUAUGAAUGAAUAACCCAGGAUUAUCUUCUGAUAGCCAAAAACCUUAUAUUGGGCACCUCAACUUUCUGGAUUUUUGACAAUAAGGAAACGAGAGCAUCUGAUUACACAAAGAUGUCUGAGCGAGCGUGUUACUAGAGCAACAGAGUGUCGUAAGUGGCUUUCUGUGCUCGCCUGCUCCACCGCUAUCAUCUCUGUAACCCCAGGGGACGGCAGCGAGGUGAGGAGGGGAAAGCCGAGCAUCCACCAUUCAUGAGGCGAGUGACGAGACACUCGUGCAUCUACACAACGCCAAACAUUUCGACUGCGGAAAUCCCAGACUCCCCAGAGGAAUGAAAACAGAGAUUUUGACACAAAGCUGUACCUGAGCAGUAGACGCAGCAACAAAGAACACUGCAAGAAAGCAUCCUGUUGCCAGCAUGGAGGAGACUCCCACAAUAGAGAGAGGCAGCAGCAUUUCCCAUUCACCUUCCCGAUGCAAAAGAGGACUUUUCUAAGCCAGGGAGUCCCACAGCACCAUACAAAAGCUCAGACUUCUCAAAACUGCAGCCAUAAGGAUCCUUCAGCUAUCAAAACGGAGGCCACCACACAUAACUGUCCCCGCUAUGACACAGGCUUCACUCACUCCAAGAAAUCCCAUCAAAGAGCAGGAUUCCGUUACUGUAAAUUCUAAAGACAAAUAUCCAUAAUCACAGAAGAGAAGAACUGCGAUACGUGACAGGGGAGGCCGUGGAAGAGACCGAUGCGAUCCCCACCAACGUGAACAUGCUGCUCAGUUUUAACGUCGGACCAAACAGCUUCUUAAACCCACGCACAGUAAUCAACUUGGAAUCUGUGCACUUCAGUGUUUUUGCUGGCUAAUAAAUUCCUUUUCUUCCAGAAAGUUCCUCUUCUCUACAAGAUCUCACUGCACAUUUUAGAGCCGAGGCUCCCACUUUGAUGAAAACCAUAGGAACAGAACCAUGAAUGCCGAGUACCUCCGCAAUAACUGCUACUAUUGCAGCCUUCCUGCACUAAGUAUAUAUAUAUAUUUUUAAUUAAGCAUGCAUGUGUUUUUCUUCACUGUAACUCCUAUUAAUUUUUAAAAAAUAUUAAUGCUUAUUAAGCACGCUAGCAGUUACACAACCUUAACGAAGUAUAUCAAAUCAAAGUAUGAACGCGUUUCUGCCUUACUUGCAUAAUUCUGGAAACCAAAACAGACUUUCUAAUGAGAAAAGCAUGUGACGGAGUACACAUUUUCAGCACUUUCAAAGAAGAAAACCAGCUCCUCUUGCAGUUUAAGGGACUGCUCCAGGUACAGAGAAGAGCUCGGUUCAUGGAUACUUUAAGUCUUGACAUAGAGAGCCCUAUUCAUAUGUAGUCUCAUCUACUUUGCAACUCUUUGACAGUACUGUACACACUGUAUUUACACCAAUAUUUCAUGAAUGUUUGCACUGACACACACACACAUAUACACAAAACCCUGUGUUUAGGCACGCAAUGCUAUAUAAUUCUAUAUAGCAUUAAGAUAAUUCCCCACAGAAACCCAGCUGGGUUGGGGGUAGGUGGAGAAGAAUGUACCAUAGCAAACUGCGCACUCGAAGUAGCGGUUAAACUGCUUGAGACCACUUUUCUGCUUUCAAGAGCCUCAGCUCAAGUGUUUUCACUGAGCUUUCCAUGUCUAACAGCUUCAUGGCAUGGGAAUCAGUAAUGCUGCUUCAGUGUACUCUUAAAAAAAAAAAGUUAAACAUCUAUAAAGCAAGGCCUACUACACAACAGAUGGUCUAAGCUCUUGAAUGUCAAAAUCCUUCUGUGUCAGGCAGCCCAAUUAAAGUGACAUUUUUAGCAGCGUGCUUCUCUCUACUGUGCCCUUCCUCCCACUUUAGCCUGAAUGUCCCAAGGGGUAAUUGCUCACCACACAAUUACAAACACCAGUCUACUGUAGUUCUUUCUCCCCAGUCUCUAAUUGGGAGAGUCUAUGAUGACGGUUAAUCUAACUUCUGGGUCUCAAUCUGCUUAAAAAGAGAAGACCUUAGAGAAAACAUGAAAACCUUGAGCAAACUAGCAUAGCUCUGGAUCUCCUGAUUAGGAUCACUUUGCUUUAGCCUCCUGAGCUGUAGCAAAGGUCUUUGUCAUUCACCUUGUCUUUCCAAAAUGCUAAAAAGCAGAUAUGGCUGAUGGACAGGAAAAAGAAAAAAGAAAAAACUAGAGGAGGAAAAAGCACCAUAAGUCAUUGUUUUCUAGCAGCUUGCUGUCAUCUCCAUAGGAUGUGUAUUGAAGAGAUGCCUUGGACUCCUCUAACCUUUAGAAGAAGACAGUCCUUUGGAAAUGCACCACUAGUCCCAUUUCUCAACACCAGACGCAGCCACAGCCCAUGACACGACUAUCAGGCAAGCAGCAAACCACUCCACCUGCGGUGGGCCAGGCAGUGCUGGCCUGGGAGCUGCGAGAUGACCGCAGUUGGGUGCAGGGGACACAGGGCAGCCCACGGGCUUUUGUGCCGCUUGGACCUGAGGGGCACCUCCUCCUCCUCCUGGACCGCUCCGGAGGUUUUGGUGUGCAGUCUGUGCCAGUAAGGCCAGUCACCCCUAUUUCACGUCUUGCCGAGUGUCUCCAAUUCCUCCUCCAGCCUAGAGGAACUGAUGAGGUGGAGAUAAUCCUGUUACUGAUUUAUAAUGGGUAACAGUAGUACAGAGUUAAAAAAAAUCCACGCAGGAACUUUGCAGCAGGUACCACAGACGUGAACUCAAUGUCUUGAUGCUCUCCUAAGUGAGAACACCCACAUAACUCAGUUCUGGGUCUCUGUUUCUGUCGGUGAAGGUUGACAACUUUAAUACUACCACGACAUAAGAUAGUCAGGCUGAUUUUGAACAGACCUGAGAUACAAACCAACACAGCUUCUUCCUAUCCAGCAUGCGACAGCCCCAGAAACUACAGCAAUUGCAAGGAGCCACGGCAUUGAUGGAAGCUACGUCCGAGAAAGGAUUGCUGAAAAAGGCAAUCGGAUACUAACGAAAGCAUAAUCCUGUUCAUCCCCAAGUGUGCGUUUCUCAGAUGAUUUACUGUAUUAUGAUAAAGUGAAUCUCACAUUCAGAGACUGCAAGCUGGAAGACAGGG
Cuculus canorus (common cuckoo) is the source of this 3573-nucleotide long non-coding RNA. RefSeq lists it as uncharacterized. NCBI's taxonomy places the organism in Eukaryota, Metazoa, Chordata, Aves, Cuculiformes, Cuculidae. The record is from RefSeq and is a predicted model, not a curated record. The transcript is spliced from 3 exons.